Molecule: long non-coding RNA, 762 nt
Organism: Cyprinus carpio carpio
Lineage: Eukaryota; Metazoa; Chordata; Actinopteri; Cypriniformes; Cyprinidae
Source: Ensembl
UGUUGUUCCACACGAUACGGAAGUGGCUGGUGUGGCGUGGAUGUUGUGAUUUACGGGCUGCAACGGAGAAUCCAAGGAAAGGGGAGAUUGGAAGUGCGGAGGAAGUUAAGUGAUCAACCUUUUGUAUGUUGUGUUUACAUCUUAUUGUGGAUUGAACUGAAGGAGCGAUCCUAUGUUUGGAAGGCCCCUGAGUGAAGGAGAUCAUUGAAUUCGUAUUGGGAGAGGACAACACUGUGUACUGUGUUGAUAGUAGUGCCUUGCGUUGGAGAUCGCUGGGAAAGACGGAGAGACUCCGGUGUACGAUAUAUACGCCUGCUGUGGUCUGCCCCCUGCCUUCGUCCAUCUGACACGCCCCGCCAGGACUCUGAGCCCGAAACGGGAAUACACCACGGAUCUUCUUUCACUGAGUGUGUGGAGUGCGGUGAGUGCUGCUAUAUUGAAGUGUACACACGAGAAGAAUUGUAGUGCCUUUGUGGUGUGUGGUGUUUGUCCGUGGUUGUGUCCCCGGUCGUAGGAAGAGGCCUGACAGAGAGGAGCAGUGUAUUGGUGGCAACCACAGUCUUUACCUUAAGUAAGCUGGAGCUUGGACGUGUUGGAGGCGCCUCUGGAGGAGGUUGGAUGACGUCGCCCACACAGCGAUCUCUGUAAGCUUUUAAAUCAAAGCCUUACCCUUUCAUCCACGUGACGUUGUGUCAUUGGCCUUGUCAGCAACCACCGGCCUGGUGCGUGUCGUCUGUGCUGUCUCUUUGACAAGGGAAGCGA